Molecule: ribosomal RNA, 254 nt
Filed under: uncultured bacterium
Lineage: Bacteria
Description: partial 16S ribosomal RNA
Rfam family: Bacterial small subunit ribosomal RNA
Source: RNAcentral
GACAGAGGGUGCAAACGUUGUUCGGAAUUACUGGGCGUAAAGCGAGUGUAGGCGGUUUGGUAAGUCGGAUGUGAAAGCCCCGGGCUCAACCCGGGAAGUGCACUCGAUACUGCCAAGCUAGAGUAUCGGAGAGGUUGGUGGAAUUCUCGGUGUAGAGGUGAAAUUCGUAGAUAUCGAGAGGAACACCGGUGGCGAAGGCGGCCAACUGGACGAAUACUGACGCUGGAGGUGCGAAAGCGUGGGGAGCAAACAGG